Molecule: ribosomal RNA, 425 nt
Filed under: uncultured bacterium
Lineage: Bacteria
Description: bacterial SSU rRNA
Rfam family: Bacterial small subunit ribosomal RNA
Source: RNAcentral
UCGAGGAUCUUCGGCAAUGGGCGCAAGCCUGACCGAGCGACGCCGCGUGCGGGAUGAAGGCCUUCGGGUUGUAAACCGCUGUCAGAGGGGAUGAAAUGUAUGAGGGUACUCUCUCAUACUUGACAUAGCCUCAAAGGAAGUACGGGCUAAGUUCGUGCCAGCAGCCGCGGUAAGACGAACCGUACAAACGUUAUUCGGAAUUACUGGGCUUAAAGGGUGCGUAGGCGGCGGUGCAAGUUGGGUGUGAAAUCCCUCGGCUCAACCGAGGAACUGCGCUCAAAACUGCAUUGCUUGAGGGAGAUAGAGGUGAGUGGAACUUAGGGUGGAGCGGUGAAAUGCGUUGAUAUCCUAAGGAACACCAGUGGCGAAAGCGACUCACUGGGUCUCUUCUGACGCUGAGGCACGAAAGCUAGGGUAGCGAACGG